CUGCUGAGCCAUGAUGGAAACUCCAAGAAAAGUCUCUGAAGGAAGUUCGGUGAGGAUAAACAUGCAGCCUGAGGAACUCAGGAGUCAGGCUUUUUGCUGAUACGGAAUUCUGAGCUUUCCUUCCGGGCCGAUGUUUUGGAGGCAGGAUAUUCAAGCGCCGAGGAAAAGAGAACAGAAGAACCAGAGGAAUGAUAAGCUCAUCCAUUUAACCCUAAAAAGGGGCGAACGCUUCAUUCACUUUUCUCAGUGGAGCAAGAACAGACUGAUUGGCCCUCUGGGUGUUCGCGAAUGAAAGGUCAUCCUUCCGCUCGGCAGACACCUCCAGUCGGGCGGAGAAAGCCUGGGCUGUGACCUGAAAAAGCUCCCUGCGCGGUGCCCCUCGGCCAGGCCAGGCCAAAUGCUGUCCUCAGAGGACGCAGGCAAGUUUUAUGCAGCUGACGAUAUUUACUGAGCCCAAGCCAAAUGACUCCGUUGAUAAACACAGGAGAUGGGCAAAUGAAUAAGACCAAAUCCUGCUUCAAGAUCUCAUCGUAUUGGAAAGAAGAACAAGUAAACUAUGAGGAAAGCGGUUGGUGGAAAGCGAGUCUUGGUGGAUGCUCCUGUGUGGAUCCUCUGUGGAAACUGGAGUCUCUCGAAGCAGAUGCUCAGGAUUCUAUUCUCAGAAGGAUUUGCUGUGGAGGACACAAAGGCUGGAUAAACUGGAGCUGACAUCAGGCUUCCAGAAUCUUCCACAGAGAAAGUCAGAGUCGUUUCAUACUUUUCAGAGCAGAGAAAUCACUCACCUUCCCAAGAGAAAUAGUAGGAGGACUACUUAGGCUCACACAUCACUUCUUCCUCUUGAGUCCCAGAAAGUGUCUCCAUUAGUCCCAGAUGUGACUGCGUAGUUCGCAGCAGGAAUGACUUCAAGUUCAUUACCAGAUCCUGCCCCCAGAAAACAUGUACUCUUUCUCACAGAGAAUAAAGGGAGGCUGUAUUACAGUGAGGAUGCAUCAAGCGUGCUAGAUCACCGGGUGUAAGGUAAGAAAAAGGGGUAAUAAAAAAUCUUUGUUACCAGAGGAAGGGACGGAUUGAGGAGGCUGAGUCCAGCAGAGUUGCUGGUAGAGACUGUGAGCCAGAGAGGAGGACACCUAUGGUCCUUAAAAUGGCAUCAUUUCAUUGUUUACAUGUGAACUGUGCCAUGUCUGGAAAAACAUAAGCCAGGAGUUACCAUAAGCUUAAAACGCUUCAAAAAUUAGGAUCUUUUUAAAAACAUUUAAAAAAAACGUUUAAAGUAUGGCUGAUUUACAAUGUUGUGCCAAUGGCUGCUGUACAGCAAAGUGACCGGGUCAUAUUACACACACACACACACACACGGAUAUACACCCACACAUGCCCUUUCUCCUACUGUCUUCCAUCGUGGUCUAUCCCAGGAGACUGGACCUAGUUCCCUGUGCUGUAUGGCAGGACCUCAUUGUUCAUCCAUUCUACAUGCCAUAGUUUGGAUCUACUCACUCCAAACUCCCGUCCAUCCUACUCCUUCCCAUCCGCCUUGGCAGCUACAUGUCUGUGGUCUUGAAUUCAAGCACAUUCUGAUUAUUUGGGCAAACGUCACUAAAUGUUCCAGGAAGAUAUGUUAGUCCCUUGCCUCGUGGAUUUUUUUACUGCUCCUCUCUCUGGGUGGGAGGUACACAUUCUCCACAGGUAGAUUUUUCAAGCCAGCUCUAGGAGGCAGUCUAUUAUUUGCUUGGCAGCAGGGGAAAAGGGCAGGAAUUGUCUUAUUUAAAUCCCUCUGUACACAAGACUUAGCUCUGUGUGGCAGGAUGAUAGGUAACCUGUGGAUGUGAGUGAUACCAAUAGCUGCAGGGACGAGAUCAAUCCUUGGUCAUGGAGGGGUGAGCGAUCUCUUUUUGGAAAUAAUUUACAAAAACUAAAAGAUAAGUAC
This is a non-coding RNA of Sus scrofa (pig), 1921 nucleotides long. Lineage: Eukaryota; Metazoa; Chordata; Mammalia; Artiodactyla; Suidae. The record is from RefSeq and is a predicted model, not a curated record.